GACGAAGGUGGCAAGCGUUGUUCGGAAUUACUGGGCAUAAAGCGCGCGUAGGCGGCUGUGUAAGUCAGGUGUGAAAGCCCUCGGCUCAACCGAGGAACUGCGCCUGAUACUGCACGGCUUGAGGUCCGGAGGGGAGAGUGGAAUUCCCGGUGGAGCGGUGAAAUGCGUAGAGAUCGGGAAGAACGCCGGCGGCGAAAGCGACUCUCUGGUCGGAAUCUGACGCUGAGGCGCGAAAGCUAGGGGAGCAAACGGG
Molecule: ribosomal RNA, 253 nt
Filed under: uncultured bacterium
Lineage: Bacteria
Description: partial 16S ribosomal RNA
Rfam family: Bacterial small subunit ribosomal RNA
Source: RNAcentral